Molecule: non-coding RNA, 264 nt
Organism: Pelobates cultripes (western spadefoot toad)
Lineage: Eukaryota; Metazoa; Chordata; Amphibia; Anura; Pelobatidae
Source: the annotation of a GenBank genome assembly
GCAUCUUUGAAGCACUGUGGACAAAGCUGGAGGCCCUCAUGCAGACCCCCAAAACGGGGUCCACACCAGGCGGCGCACCGCAUGGCCCAGGACGCAGCCGAGGCGCCCGAGCCACGCGGGCACCGGCAAACGGUGCAGUAGCCCACAAGAGCCCUUGCAACCCACGACAUCGCCCACGGACGAGGUGACCACAAGCAGCAGCAACAAGGCAACGAGGAUUUAAACGCCAGGUGGCAGGGUCAGGGGCAACAAGCAGGAGUUAAC